RNAcentral lists this ribosomal RNA (77 nucleotides) under Gossypium arboreum. The record is from RNAcentral. Lineage: Eukaryota; Viridiplantae; Streptophyta; Magnoliopsida; Malvales; Malvaceae.
ACUCCGCAAUUAAGCGUGCUUGGGCGAGAGUAGUACUAGGAUGGGUGACCUCUUGGGAAGUCCUCAUUUUGCACCCC